Molecule: long non-coding RNA, 1587 nt
Filed under: Homo sapiens (human)
Lineage: Eukaryota; Metazoa; Chordata; Mammalia; Primates; Hominidae
Description: HSALNT0367943
Source: RNAcentral
CUGCGAUCCACCUACCUUGGCCUUCCAAAGUGCUGGGAUUACAGGCGUGAGCCACCAUGCCCAGCCGCUUCAUCUUUCUUUACUCAUGAAUGUCCUAAGCUUUGUAUUCACAGCUGUUCUCAUGCAUUCAUUCCAUGCCGGCCUUAGAGGACUCGGUCAAGACAAUGGUGCCCUCAGGAAGGUUACGAGAGAGCAAGCUGUGCUGCUUUGCCCAUCUUGGGAUGAGCAUCACCCAGAGAGAGGGACCAGAAUCCCUGAGGCCAUCUUGGUUCAUCUGCACCGUCUCUCCUACACCUCUUCACCCCUCCCCUCUCCACUUCACUCCAGGCUGCAUUGGGGCGGGGAGGUGAUCAUCCAAGGCCCUGGCUCUCCAUCGAGACCCCAGCCAGGUAGAGCCCCUAUUGCCUGAGCAAGCUUGCGCAGGAUGGGGCUGGAGCUGCACUAUUUGGAUCUUCUUGGAGUAGAAAAUUCACAAAUUCCAACCUCUGCUCCCAAAGCAAACCUCCCCAGCCCAGGUGGCUGCAUCCUUCUCCUCCCCUCCCCCCAGUUCCCUGGGUCGCCAAGCCGGAGGCUUUGAAAACCAGCUUGUGUUUGGUUUGUGAAAGCACCAAUGUUUGCAAUGUUUGCCCAGCAGAGAAGGAGCAUAUUUUCUCCCUUCCAAAUGCAAACUCAAAAGAUGCUCCACCAGUUUUUCUUCAGACUUUCCACAGGAAACAUAAAUAAGAAAGAAAAAUGACUUUAGGUGCUGAGACCUGAAAUGGAAUUUCAACCCUGAAGGAACUGCCUGUAACAAGCACUCUCUGUCCUUCAGUGAAGGCUUCGAGAGCCUAGGUGCAUGUUUCUUUCCUCUGAGUAGCCUUCACAGAUGAGGCAAGGGGAGGAGCUGAACCAGUUCUUAGACCUGACUCCCAGCUAGAUCUUCAGCCCCACACAAUGAAUGGCCGGUGACUGGCACAGCAGCUGAGAUUCCCUGGCUACAGUGUUCUUUUUUAUCUUUCUUGAUUGUGUUAGGGUAGAACAAAUGAGGGUGCUGCAACCCGAGAGGCCCAGCCACACUGCAAGCCAGCACAAUCAGAGUGUGAAGUGUGGACACGCCCCCCUGGAACACAAGGCCACAGUUUGCCACCUGCUCUGCCCUUGUCUCCAUCUCGGAAGAAGGACAUCCCUGAUCUGUGGCCUCUGUCCUCACGGAUCUUAUAAUUAUCAGACAAACACAACCACAGAGAGGCUGGAAGGCAGUGCUUCAGCAUCACACAUAUAUGCAUCGGUGACCAGAGUUCUGAUUAAUCUUAAUGCACAGAUAAUUGGAGCAUUUCUUGCUCACAGCUUAUAGCCACCAAAUGACUGCUUCCAGGUUAGGAGUUUGCAGAAUAUGUACACACACGGAGCCCUACAAAAGGCUCCAGACCCAAGAAAUACAGGGUUGAAGUCAGUGUGGACAGUUCUAAUGCAGCUAAUACAUUCUAACUGAUUUGUUGUGAGCUAAGGGUUCAGUGUUUACACUUCAAGGUCACUGUUUCUGUCUCCUGACAUCUGAGAACCUUUCUUCUUCUUCUUUUUUUUUUGAGACAGAGUCUUGCCGUGUCA